UAGAAUUCCACGUGUAGCAGUGAAAUGCGUAGAGAUGUGGAGGAAUACCGAUGGCGAAGGCAGCCUCCUGGGAUAACACUGACGUUCAUGCUCGAAAGCGUGGGUAGCAAACAGGAUUAGAUACCCUGGUAGUCCACGCCCUAAACGAUGACAAUUAGCUGUUGGGACACUAGAUGUCUUAGUAGCGAAGCUAACGCGUGAAAUUGUCCGCCUGGGGAGUACGGUCGCAAGAUUAAAACUCAAAGGAAUUGACGGGGACCCGCACAAGCGGUGGAUGAUGUGGAUUAAUUCGAUGCAACGCGAAGAACCUUACCUGGUCUUGACAUGUACGGAAUCUCUUAGAGAUAGGAGAGUGCCUUCGGGAACCGUAACACAGGUGCUGCAUGGCUGUCGUCAGCUCGUGUCGUGAGAUGUUGGGUUAAGUCCCGCAACGAGCGCAACCCUUGUCAUUAGUUGCCAUCAUUAAGUUGGGCACUCUAAUGAGACUGCCGGUGAUAUACCGGAGGAAGGUGGGGAUGACGUCAAGUCCUCAUGGCCCUUAUGACCAGGGCUUCACACGUCAUACAAUGGUCGGUACAGAGGGUAGCGAAGCCGCGAGGUGAAGCCAAUCUCAGAAAGCCGAUCGUAGUCCGGAUUGCACUCUGCAACUCGAGUGCAUGAAGUCGGAAUCGCUAGUAAUCGCAGGUCAGCAUAC
RNAcentral lists this ribosomal RNA (694 nucleotides) under uncultured Snodgrassella sp. RNAcentral describes it as "bacterial SSU rRNA". It matches the Rfam family "Bacterial small subunit ribosomal RNA", at positions 662 to 1357 of the family's 1533-position model. Lineage: Bacteria; Pseudomonadati; Pseudomonadota; Betaproteobacteria; Neisseriales; Neisseriaceae. The record is from RNAcentral.